Molecule: long non-coding RNA, 1632 nt
Organism: Triticum aestivum (bread wheat)
Lineage: Eukaryota; Viridiplantae; Streptophyta; Magnoliopsida; Poales; Poaceae
Exons: 3
Source: RefSeq, a predicted model, not a curated record
UUGUUCGCCUGGACACAAAUGAGAAUUCAUUAGAUUAACCGGAGCUGAAUAAUGUGCUAGAUAAGCAAAAGUAUGUAGGGUGCAUGAAUGGUCUUCUUGGCUUGAUAUAAUAACUCACAGUUUUUUUAUAAAUAUAUGAAGCCAAACAGCAAAAUGAGUUAGUUAACGCAACACCUUCAAAAUUUUAAUAAAUAUCCAGCAGCUGACUUGAUAUAUAUUUUUAUACAACUGUUAUGGUGAUUGGCGAUUUUAUGAGCCGUCCAUCCACCCUGAUCUGACGGUGGGGAAAUAGGGGUUACACGGAGUUACAAAACUAAAAUUACAGGAAAUUACCCACCGUUACAAAAUUUUAGUGGGACCAGUUGAUUUUUUCAAGGGUAAAUCCGUCACACGAUAGCCUGCGGUGCCCACAUUGAACCCACGUAUCUACCUAGCCGGCCACGCUGCCGCGGGGAUUAGGGAUCGCCACCGCAUGGCUCCGCCAUGGCCACGUCGCCGCCGUCCACCUCCGCUAUGGCCGGCCUAGCGCCGCCGUCCACGUGCGCCAUGACCGGCCUAGCGUCUCUGUCCACCUUCUCCGUGGCUGCCAUGGCGCCGCUGUCCACCUCCCCCAUGUCCGACCCGCCUACCUCCACCGUGCUCAGCCCAGUGCCGUUGUUUACCUCGACCAUGGCCCCCAGCAGUUCUUCCCAUCACCAAUCCAUCCCCCUAUCCGACCAUUCCCAUCGCCGGCAAGGUCCGCUGGAAGAGGCUGACAUGAAUCCCCAAGAUCAAGAUCCAAGAGGACUAGAUGAUUGCAGCGUCAGAGAAGAAUUUGUAACAAUCUACAAUAAGUGUCAUGCCCAACUAAAUUCCACAACAAGCUAGCUUGAACUAUCUGAAUAGCUUGAAUUGCAGAAGCAGUAGCAGUAGCAGUCAGUACUGAAGUUGAUCUACUAGGAUGAUUUUAUAUUUAUGUCUCAAAAUUUCUGGUGCCUCUCGCUUCAUAAGAAAAUAUUAAAUCUCUCAUAUAUUACGUGUUUAUCUGGAAGCCGCUCCAUUCUUUGUUAUAUACUUCUGUUUAACCCAGUAUCACAUUAUAUAUGUACCGCUACUACUGUUUUCUAAAUGCAUUUACUUCGGUGUUCACAGAGUCUUUUGAGUAUGCUUUUAUUUCCGGAGGACGCAUCCUGAGUGACUACACAUGAGCAGUUUUUCUUGCUCCAGGGUCGAGCCUCAGAACAACUAGCUAACCUGGACAUAUACGAAAGCACAUCAUUAGAGCCAGAGGGAGAAGAUCAAGGUAUAUGUGAUAAUUUAUAUUCCCUAGGAAAAUAUACGAUGAGGCUCCAGUCAACAUAUCCUUACCUGGGAAGAUAUUUGGCGGAAGUGCUCUCUCCUAGCUGUGAGAUAUAAUAUCUUCUCGUGGAGGUGUGGAUGAAGGACCCCUCCAACGUGCAAAAAAUUGGCACAUGGAGCUGCCGGAGCCAGACGGCCCAGCCUCACCGCCGGUAGAAAAGCGCGGGAUGGUGCAUGGCGUCCUCAUCUAUGUUGGAUCAGUGGAGGAUCACAGCACCACGUUGAUAUGGAAAGAGAUGAUUUGGCAAAGAAAAGACCCAUCUACUUUGCAAUUACUAUACUUUGUCUAUAAGA